RNAcentral lists this ribosomal RNA (372 nucleotides) under uncultured organism. Its description in RNAcentral is "bacterial SSU rRNA". It matches the Rfam family "Bacterial small subunit ribosomal RNA", at positions 526 to 896 of the family's 1533-position model. The record is from RNAcentral.
CGUAGGAGGCGAGCGUUAUCCGGAUUCACUGGGCGUAAAGCGCGUGCAGGUGGCUUGGUAAGUUAGGCGUGAAAUCUCCCGGCUCAACUGGGAGAGGUCGCCUAAUACUACCGGGCUAGAGAGCAGAAGAGGAAGAUGGAAUUCCCGGUGUAGUGGUGAAAUGCGUAGAUAUCGGGAGGAACACCAGUGGCGAAGGCGAUCUUCUGGUCUGUUUCUGACACUCAGACGCGACAGCUAGGGUAGUAAACGGGAUUAGAGACCCCGGUAAUCCUAGCCGUAAACGAUGUGAACUUGGCGUUGGUGGGUUAAACUCCAUCAGUGCCGAAGCAAACGCGAUAAGUUCACCGCCUGGGGACUACGGCCGCAAGGUUA